GACGAACGCUGGCGGCGUGCUUAACACAUGCAAGUCGAGCGGUAAGGCCCUUUCGGGGGUACACGAGCGGCGAACGGGUGAGUAACACGUGGGUGACCUGCCUUCAGCUCUGGGAUAAGCCUGGGAAACUGGGUCUAAUACCGGAUAUGACUCCAUGAUGCAUGUUGUGGGGUGGAAAGCUUUUGCGGCUGGAGAUGGGCCCGCGGCCUAUCAGCUUGUUGGUGGGGUGANGGCCUACCAAGGCGACGACGGGUAGCCGGCCUGAGAGGGCGACCGGCCACACUGGGACUGAGACACGGGCCCAGACUCCUACGGGAGGCAGCAGUGGGGAAUCUUGCGCAAUGGGCGAAAGCCUGACGCAGCGACGCCGCGUGAGGGA
RNAcentral lists this ribosomal RNA (379 nucleotides) under uncultured bacterium. RNAcentral's name for it is "bacterial SSU rRNA". It matches the Rfam family "Bacterial small subunit ribosomal RNA", at positions 28 to 408 of the family's 1533-position model. The record is from RNAcentral.